GAGAAGUGGUGGGGAUGUAUCCUCCUUUAUCAUAAGCUUAACUAACUUGUUUUGAGAAGCCUGGAGUCGUGAUUUUACAGUAGAUGUUAUGGAUUUGGAAUCAUAGAAUAUUAGUCCGAGUCUCUGCUCUGUUACUUAACGGGCUCUAUUACUUUACUGACUAAACUCGGACUAAUUUAUUUUACCCCUCUAAGCCUCAGUUUACUCAUGUGUGAAACAGGGUUAAUUUAAUAUUUCUAAUGGCCUGACAGGUCAACUGAGUUCUUGGGCUUCCUGUUCCAUAUAUGUGGAAGCUAUUAUUUUGACCUUACGUGGAUGGGAUUGGCAAAUUAGGAACCACAGCAGAUGACCUAAGAUAAGCAAGGACGGAAAACACCUUUUCUUUUAGCUAGAUACUUACAGGUAACAUCAUGAACCCUGAAUUUCCCAUGAAGGUUGGUGGAAGAGUAGCCCUUUUUCAGCUAGGCAGUAUGUUGAUUGUUCCCAUCUCAACUACUGAAGUUGGGCUCAGUUAGGAGGACUGCAAAAUUUAUCAAACUAUCUCCAGCCAGUUAUUCAUUCAGAUGAUUGCUGCCUUUUCCAGUCAGAACAGGCCUCCCAGCCACCAAGCUGAGGUUGACUUUUUAAGCUUGUUGACCUGGCUACCAAAACAAGUUGUGGAAGCCCUUCUGCUUUACCUGCUCAAGCAAGAAGGGGCAGCACAAGUAUACCUGCUGACAAGGCAGAGUGCAGCAAAUGAAGAAGAAAAGAAGACCAAAGGCUGAUCUGCCCCCACAGCAGCAGAAAACUCUAAGCAAAGCAGUAGCCAACUUUAGUUGGUCAUGGAUAGUCCAAGCUUUCUUUCAGGAAUACCCUCAGCCACAGUAUGUACCCAUACACCAAAAGGAAAGAAGCCUCGAUAUGUGCCCUAGCUUCCCCCACCUCCUCCCCCACCAGAUGGCCACCGCAGCCCCUCCAGCAAGCUCUCCCUCAAGGUAGUUUCCCUGAUAAAAGUUAAAAAAUAGAUUUAAUCAAAACAUUAACUGUCCAGGAUGAUUGCUAUUCGCUCAUUUUUUCCUUAAGUGUCAGCUGAAGCAUACUAUUCUCCAUACCUCCAAUUUUAAAAUGUGUUUCUUCUAUAAACAUUGUCAGGUUCUUAUUUUUGGUCCAUUGUACUAUCCAUUCACAUUCAAAAUUCUAAUUGCUUGUUGUGUAUGUGUAUACACAGACACACACACACACAGACACACACAGACACACACACACAUAUUUCCCUAUAUUCCAGGGCUUCAAAGAAGUUCAGAAAAAGCAGGCAUUCUCCAGGGGCUGGACUAUCCCCCACCCCAAGGGCUUCAGUACUGUUGACCCCAGCUCAGCACCAGGUAAGCUGUCAGACCUCUAUGGCCUCCAGCUGCCACCACCUGAGGUCUCAGCACAUAGAGACCGACGAGGUCGCUGCACCCCAGCAAAAGAAGCUUGGGUCAGUGCCCCGUGCUUAAAUCCAGGAAAUAGGCAAACACAAGAAAAAGCAGAAAAGGCUGAUUCAAAUCACCAAUUCAGAUCAAAACACAAAUUCAGAGGAGGCAG
This is a long non-coding RNA of Phascolarctos cinereus (koala), 1566 nucleotides long. RefSeq lists it as uncharacterized. NCBI's taxonomy places the organism in Eukaryota, Metazoa, Chordata, Mammalia, Diprotodontia, Phascolarctidae. The record is from RefSeq and is a predicted model, not a curated record.